RNAcentral lists this non-coding RNA (29 nucleotides) under Homo sapiens (human). The record is from RNAcentral. Lineage: Eukaryota; Metazoa; Chordata; Mammalia; Primates; Hominidae.
GGUCCAGAGAUCAGACUCGGGAAAGGUGG